Molecule: long non-coding RNA, 6500 nt
Filed under: Lynx pardinus (Iberian lynx)
Lineage: Eukaryota; Metazoa; Chordata; Mammalia; Carnivora; Felidae
Source: RNAcentral
CAAGCUCACAGAGGCCGCUUCAAGAUGAUUCAUGGGGGAUCAUGAAGCACCAGCUGGAAGGACACCCCUGGCAAAACCCACUCGGGUGACGUAAACUAUACCUUAAAAAAUCACUUUCAUGGGCCACCUGGGCGGCCCAGUCCGUUGAGCGUCCGACUUCAGCUCGGAUCACUACAGCUCAGCUCAUGAUCUCGGGGUUCGUGAGUUCCAGCCCCGCGUCAGGCUUUGUGCUAAGAGCACGGAACCUGCUUUGGAUCCUCUGUCUCCCUCUCUCUCUGCCCCUCCCCUGCUUGUGCUCUCUCUCUCCCUCUCUCAAACAUAUAUAAACAUUUAAAAAAUAAAAAAUUCACUUUCUUAACCCACAUCAUCCUUUUUGUUUUCAAGUUUUGCCUUUGAAAUAAUCACUGACUUCUAAGAAAUUGGAAAGAUAAUACAGAGAGGUCCCAUGUACCCUCUCAGUUUCUCCGCAUGGCUGCACUUUGUGUCACUAUAGGAAACUGGCACUGGUACAUGUGUCAUGUAUGCCAUUUCGGUCACGGUGUGUAGAUUCAUGUAACCAUCACUGCCGUUGAGACACAGAACUAGUCUAUCAUUUUUCAUUCCUCUGGGGUAAAUGCCCAGAAGUACGACUGCUAGGUCUUCCUGGCAGGCUGAUCUUUUUACCAGUGUGUUCCUCUCUGUUUCUGGAAAUUUUCUUUGCUCUAAAGAUGUUUUUCUGACUAAUGUUUGCAUGAUUCUUUUUUUUUUUUUUUUUAAUUUUUUUUUUCAACGUUUAUUUAUUUUUGGGACAGCGAGAGACAGAGCAUGAACGGGGGAGGGGCAGAGAGAGAGGGAGACACAGAACCGGAAACAGGCUCCAGGCUCUGAGCCAUCAGCCCAGAGCCCGACGCGGGGCUCGAACUCACGGACCGCGAGAUCGUGACCCGGCUGAAGUCGGACGCUUAACCGACUGCGCCACCCAGGCGCCCCAUGCAUGAUUCUUAUUCUCUUACUUGCAGCCUAUCUAUAUAGUUAUAGCUGAAUUGGAUUUAUUAUAGACAGUUUAUCACUGUGUCAUUUUUUUUUACUUUAAAACUCAUCAAUAGACUUUAUUUUUUAGAGAUUUUAGGUUUGCAGAAAAAUUGAACAGUGAGUAGAGAGUUCCCAUAUACCCUCCUUCUCCUUCCCUACCCCACCCCCAUUUCCCUGUUAUUAGCACCUUGCACUAGUGUGGAACAUUUGUUACAGUUGAUGAACCUAUAAUGAUACAGUAUUAUUAACAAAGUCCAUUGUUUACAUUAGUGUUCACUCUAUGUAUUGUAUAUUCUACGAGUUUGGACAAAUGCAUAAUGCCACAUACCUGCCAUUGCAGUGUUACAUAGAACAUAGUUUCUCUGCCUUAAAAACCCCCUAGGCUCUGCCUAUUCAGUCUCCCCUCUCUCCCAGGCAAAUCCUUGGCAACUAACAAUUUUUGUACUGUCUCUGUACUGUCUGUGCAAUCUUGCCUGUUACAGAUUGUCAUACAGUUAGACUCAUACAAUAUGUAGCCUUUUCAGAUUGGCUUCCUCUACUUAGCAACAUGCAUUAAAGUUUCCCAGACUUCUUUUUGUUUCUUUUUUGGUUCGUUUCUUUUUAAGACUGAAUACUAUUGCAUUGUACGGAUGUGUCAUAGUCUAUCCAUUCACAUGUUGAAGGACAUUUCCAUUGCUUCCAAAUUUUGGUAAUUAUGAAUAAAGCUGCUAUAAACAUUCCUGUGCAGUGUGUGUGUGUGUGUGUGUGUGUGUGUGUGUGUAAAUUUCCAACUCAUUUAGUAGACUCCUAGGAAAAUUGCAUCCAUUUUAUUUCUCCAGCAAUGGAAGUCUCCUAGCCAGCACUAUUUAAAAAGAAAAAUCAAUUGUAUUUUUAAUCUGUAGCCGAUUGACAUUUUUCUUUUACUCUGACCAUAAUUUCUUUUAAUCAUAAUACUAACCCAUCAAGUCUGCUCUCUUUAGCCCAAAGGAUGAAAAAAGGUGUAGCCCAGAAAGACAGUAUCUUUUCAGUAUUAGCAAUCACCUGACAGUAAUUGAACUACUGUUGUACCCAGAGUGCUAAACUAAGUAUCGAAGAUACUCUGUGCAAAGCCUUCUCACAUUCAGAACAAAGAAGUAGAAACUCACUCAAUACAGAUUCUGUAGGACUUAUUGUGCUAUACCUACAUAUAUAUUUUGGUGAUAGAAAUGAAGAGAUUUUUAAAAAGUAUUAUCUGACUGGCAUAGGGAAUCAUAUACACCGCAUAAUUAUGAAAGGAAACUGAGAAAAUUAAAUGAAGUUAACUGAAAAAUAGUUCACAUGGGAUUAGAUUUCAAAAAGCAAAAUUAGUUUAUCAAAUGAUUAGUUCAUAUUGAAUGAAAAAUCGUCACCUUAUUUUAAGUUCAUUCUGAAUUUGAUGUGUUUUUGCUUAAUGUUUACCCUUUAAACCAUGAAUUUUUUUCUUCAGCUGUCCCUGGUUUCUGUCUGCCAAACUACAGAUAAACACUAGACAUUCUUAAUACAAAGAGAGUACGCUUCUAAUGUGUUAAUGUUUAUCUCAGGAAAAGGUGACUUUGCUACCACUUACAUAAUUUAAGUCUGUGCUGUUUUCAGCUACUAAUAUUUUAUACGAGGGUGAAAUGCAUCUUUCAUUUUCUAAAAAAAAUUUUUUUAAUGUUUAUUUAUUUUUGAGAGAGAGAAAGAGACAGAGCACGAGUGGGGAGGGGCACAAAGAGGGAGACACAGAAUCUGAACUCCGUGCUGUCAGCACAGACCCCAACGCAGGCUCGAACCCAUGAACCGUGAGAUCAUGACUUGAGCUGAAGUCAGACGCUUAACCGACAGAGCCACCCAGGUGCCCUGCAUCUUUCAUUUUUUUAAUUUUUUUAUUUAUUUUUUAUUUUUUAUUAUUUUUUUGCAUCUUUCAUUUUUUUAAAUAAACAAUGGCAAUAUAAAUAUUCUACAUUCAUCCUGAAAGUAAUAGAACUCUAGUAGAAAGGGAGGAAUAAAAUCUGCCUGCUUGCAUAACACAAUGCAGAAGUCAUUCAGAGAAAUAUGCAGAUUUCACCCUUCAGUCUCAACAACCUUAAUUCUUCAGUUUAUUAAUAGGAUGUGAAUCUACUCCGCCCCUGCUUUGUAACACAGCUCAGUUCUGCCCACACCUUCUUUCCAGUUGCCUGCAUGAACCACCCCAUCGGGAUGGAUGCCGCGUCUGGUGCCUCUGAGGACCGGGGAACCUUGGGUUGACCUGGGGGCAGAAAAGGACUGGUACCUCUAACCAAGCCCACCAUGGUCUUCCACAGACACUCUGUCCCCUUUCUAGUGUCUGCUUAAUCCUAAAUGACCAAUUUAAAGCAGGGCACACACUGUCCAGAUAGUCACGUAUAUAUUCCUUAAGUAUUUACUGAGUAUCCACUAUGUGCCACACCUUGUUUUUGGUGUUGGUAUGACAGCAGUGAACAAAAGAAAUUCUCUCUCAUGGAGCUUAUAUUCCUGUUUGGGAUAUAGAUAAUGAAUAAAUAUGUAAGGAGAAAGACAUACACAUAUAUAAUGCAAUGGCCAUGGUAAUAAAUGCCACUGAGAAAAGUAAAGCUGAAUAAGAAAGUAGAGAUUGGCAGGGUGACAGGUCAUAGAUGUGUCAGGGAAGGCCUGUGUCAGAGGUCAGGUGGUGACCACUGAGUGAAGACCUAAGGAAGACCUAAGAGAAAGGUCAUAUGGAUAUGUAGAAAAAUAGAGUCCCAGGCAAGUGCAAAGGCCCUGAGGUAGGAUCAUGUUUGUCACAUCCAAAAAGAUAAGAAGCCAACAUGACUGAGAAAGAGUGAGUGAACAGGAGGUAGGUAGAUGAAGUCUGAGGGGAAGCCAGGGACCCGAUCAUGGGUAGCUUUAGGGGCAAUGAAUAGGAUAUUGGAUUCAUUCUAAGUCAAGUAGAAAGUUACUGAAAGGUUUUUGCUGUUUGCUUAGAUCUGGCUCCUCUUUUCCAGCAACCACCUUGGAUUCUGAAGGAAGGACAUCCCUUCAUGAGGCUCUUCUAUGGGAGGGUGGUUAUUUGAGAAUGAAUAAUCACGGUAGAAGUGACAGAAAGAGCUGUGCUUUAGAACAUACUUUCAAUUUAGAGUCAAAAGAUUUUGGUGGGGAAUUAAAUAAAUGGUGUGAGCAAAACAGAAGGGCCAAGGGAGAGGCUGAGUUUGUGAGGCUGAGGGACUAGGUGAAUGGUAUACCAUAUUCCGAAAUGGGCAACACUGGGGGCGGAACAGAUAUCUAGAGAGAUUUCAGGAAACUCCACUAUAGUAGAUGCUGGAACUUAACAUUUUGUUUUUUUGAGACAGGUGUAUGGCCUUCAAGAAUACCCCAAAUUCAUAAAUACCACCAUAAGCCUUAAUAUUUCCCAUAAGAUAUAGUAACGUGGCCUCUUUUUAGCCUCUUAAAAAUCUCUCCGUUGCUUGAGAACAAUUAUGCCAGAGGCCAGAGCACCCUCUUGAAAUGGUGUCACAGGUGUCUCCUAUUCCUCUGUGGGACCACCUGAUGCCCCCAUCUAGAGUGUGAUUGUUCCACAGACAAAUUUGACAUUUCACUCUAGCAUAUCCCACACUUUUCAUUGUUAGCUAAAAAUUGUUUCAGGCAUUUCACUUCGGUCAUCAGCAUUAGCAGUUAGUUUCCUUUUUGGACACUUUUCAAAAAGAAAUCAAAUUCGUUUCACCUUAUGAGUGUUUCUGAAUAUGGGACAAUGACUCAGCAUAAGAAAGCCAAGAGAAGGCAGAAUUGCUAAAUCAGCUAUGAGCAUCUCUCACCAGCUGAGUAGAUCAUCAGGAAUAUCAACAUGCCCAUCCCCAAAAUAUUCAGCUGUAUGAAUCAGUAAAAUUUGAAAUUCUUUCAAGUUAUGAGCCAGGGAGUCUCACAAAUGAUUAAAACCAUGAAUUUUAAAUCCAGGAAUGCCAAUGAUCUACUGUCUGAAUUUAUUACAUUCAGUUUCUCCUAAUUUGUUCUAUAUCCUGUAUCCUGCUGGUAGAGUUGUGCAGUCCGAGACUCCUCCCCUUCUGCCCUAUGAUAAUGCAGAGCUUCCCCUGCCUACUUUUAAGAAUUUGCUAAGAAUGUCAAUAAAGUUUUAGAAAUCCUAAAGAGGACAUGUUUGAAACAGAAAAGCCUUGGUGCCAGUCCCAUCUCUGCCAUUUACCAACUGUGUGACUUCCAGAAAGUUGCUUAGCCUCUCUGAGCAUGUUUCUCUCUCUUUAGGUGGGGAUAAUGACACCUAACUUGUGAGGUGGUGGAAAAUGAACCAGAAUUAGGUCCCUGUGGUAGUCAUGAAGAGGUAGUCAUGAAGAGGUAGUCAUGAAGAUCUCGUCCUUGAAGAGAUCCUGCUGCGAGGAACUCAGUUGGCCAACAUCUCUGGCUGCCACCUCUGUGGAUUCCCUGCACCCUUAGAAUAUCUAAAAUUUUUGUCUCCCAAGAACCAAUUUUCACCCCAAUGGGGGCAACAUUGCCCUUGCUGAGGAGACACCCCGGACGGCAACCUGAGUUCUAGUUCUGCACUGACUGAUUACUCAACCAUUUAUAAGUCACUCUCGCUCUUUGGGACUCCGUUUUCUCAUCUGUAAAAUGAAAAGGUUGAACAACGUGCUGUUGAAACCUCUCUCGCAGCCCUGGAGUCCUAUGAGUUCUGCAUGGCACUGGUGGACACAGCGUAACUGACUUCUCCCGCCCUCCCUGCUCCACUCCCCACCUACCUUUACAGAUAGGACAUGUGGUCGCUGUAUCUUAUCGUGAUUGUUAGCUUGCGUGUCAGGCUCCCUCCAAAACAACAUGAACUGCUUGAAGACAAAGUCCACAUGCAUGUGAUACAGUAGCUGGCAGGAAGCAGGCACCUGGUCAAUGUUUGUAGAAUGGGCUGCACAGUGUACCUACAGGGUGAACUAGAUGCAACUGCCCAGGUUAGACCUUUUGACAGCAAAUCUAUAGGUUAACUCAGGCAAACUAUGGAAUUAAAGGACACCUGCUGUGUACCUAGCUCUCAGGUCGAUGUCUGACAUGUUGGGCGGUCAAGAGAUGUUUAAGGAAGGUAAGUUGAAGGUAAGGAAGGUAAGUAAAGAAGGAAAGUAAGACAGGGAAAAGGUAGACAAAUCAUAUUGUGCCAAUAUUUUAUUUCUUCAAAAAUUCCUGGUAACUUGUAAAAGGACUUCAAUCUAAAGUGGAACCUGAUUAUAUGAAACGGAGAAUGUCGCACACGCACCUCCUAGAAGAACAGAACUUAAGAACCUAGAGACUGAUUUCUCAGAAAUGUCUGAUGUACAGAAGACCAAGACUUAUCCCCUGACCAAUGAGCAACUGCCAAGAAUCUUUUCCCAUUCGCAAGCCAUGGAACUCACUGCUUGGACUCUGGCUGGACAUCCCCCUCUUUGCACACCUUGCCUAUAAAUACAGCCUGCUCCAAACCCUCAGCAGACUCACCUGUAGCCUGCAACGUCACGCAUUUAUGGAAUUGCAGUUCCUCUGCUGUUCCCAAAUAAACUCAAUUUCUG